UAUAUAAAUCUGAAUUCAUUUUUUCUAACGAGCCUGGGAUUGUAAGAGUAAGGAAGUUUGUUGAUGCCCCUGAGGAGAAAAUUAACAUACUGAAAACCUGCCAAGUGGAUAUUGGUGUUCUGCCAGAGCAGAUCUUUGGUGAGGGAAUAUGUGCUGAAAGGCAAUGGUACUUGCAUGAUGUAAUUAGAGACUUUUGCAGAUCGGAUAAUGCUAAAAACACAACAUGCCCAUUGCCAUUAGUUGCAAAAGAAGGCUAUUCAAAGGCCAAAAAACUAAAGUUGAGAACACUUUCUCUGUGUGUUUCAGCAAAAAGUUGUAGUUUAUUUCUUCUUAAAUGUAAGGUUGCUCCACAGUCCGGACAUACUAUACCUAGGCUUGAGCUUUGUGCUGCCGUGAUGGCUGUGGAAAUAGCUGAGACAGUAUCCGAGCAGAUUGGCGUUGCCAUAGAGAAGAUGAAGUUUUACACAGAUAGUCGUGUUGUACUUGGUUAUCUUAACAACAAGGUAAGACGGUUCUACAUCUACGUGCAGAAUCGCAUUUCCCGAAUACUCAAGUCAACAGCUCGAGAACAAUGGCACUAUGUUUCCACGGAUGACAAUCCAGCCGAUCAAGGAACAUGACCUAUUCCGACUGAUCAGCUACAGCACAGCAAGUGGAUAAAUGGCCCAGAAUUUCAAAAAAAUUCAGAGCUACAGAUCAACACAGAUACAUAUGAGCUACAAGCUGAAGAAGAAGACCGAGAAAUUAGACCACUAGUGCAGUGCAUGAAGACAGAAACAAGCACAAUUCAGAGUCUUGGCCUAAACCGAUUUGAAGGCGUCAAGAGCUGGGAACUCAUGAUCAAAGUGAUCGCUUUACUCAAAGGCAAGGCACGCUGUCGAAAGAACGAGUCGGACAUUAGUCGAGCUGAUUUACUCUUGGAAUCGGAAAGGAUAAUUCUCAGAGAAGUACAGAGGGAAGCGUUUUUCCCCGAGCUGGAGUGCAUAGCUUCAAGUCAGAAGCUACCCAGAAUCAGUGCUAUACAGAACUCAAUCCCUUCAUAGAUGAACAUGGUUUAUUAAGAGUUGGUGGUAGACUGCAACAUGCCAGUGAGCUUAGUACAAGGGAGAAGCAUCCAGUUAUUCUGCCAAAAGGACAUUUUGUGAGCAGACUGGUCACCUUGAACUACCAUGGAAAGGUUCUACACCAAGGAUGCAACUUCUCCGAAGGUGCUAUCAGAUCUGGAGGCUUCUGGGUAAUCGGUGUAAAGCGGCUAGUGCGUAGUAUCAUUCAUGAGUGUUUUAAGUGCAAGAAACUUCGCGGCAAAGCAGAGUCUCAGAUCAUGUCAGAUUUACCAGAGGAUAGACUAUCACCAGGUGCACCUUUCUCAUCCGUAGGAGUUGACGUGUUCGGGCCAUGGAACGUCAUUGCGCGACGUUCUCGUGGUGGAAUGGCUCAUAACAAACGAUGGGCCGUACUGUACACUUGUUUGACUACACGAGCAAUACAUAUAGAGGUGAUAGAAGAACUCAGCACUUCAUCGUUUAUAAACGCGACGCGUCGGUUCAUCGCGCUUAGGGGACCAGUGCGCUUAUUCCGCUCUGACAGAGGAACAAACUUUGUCGGGGCAACUGACUGUAUGAAAAUUGACGCGAUCAAUGUGGAGGAUGCAACCGCUAAGAAGUUUAUGGAUUCUAACCGAACUGUGUGGCUGUUCAACUCGCCACACUCAUCUCACAUGGGUGGGGUGUGGGAAAGACUUAUUGGAGUUGUACGUCGAAUCCUAGAGUCCAUGUUUGCAGAUAUUCGCGGCGAUAUUACUCAUGAAGUGCUGACAACAUUUAUGGCCGAAGUCUCUUCCAUUGUUAAUUCGCGUCCGCUAGUCGCAGUGUCCGCUGAUCCAGAAUGUCCAACAGUGUUAAGUCCAGCAAUGCUUCUUACACAGAAGCCCGCCGAAGAAGGACAAUAUCUUAGUGAAAUCAGUGUGAAAGACAUGUAUAAAGCACAAUGGCGUCGUGUUCAGUGUUUGUCUGAUAUGUUUUGGAAACGUUGGAGAACUGAGUUUCUCCAGACACUUCAACAGCGUAAAAGGUGGCCUACGAAACAGAGAGAUCUACGCGUUGGUGAUGUUGUUUUAAUGAUUGAAGAUGACUCUCAGCGAAAUAACUGGCCAAUGGGUGUUAUCACAGAACUAUUUCCGAGCCAAGACGGACACAUUAGAAAAGUGAUGGUCAAAGUCAGUCGCCCUGGCGACUCAGAACUUAGAUCCUAUGUGAGGCCUGUGAAUAAACUUGUGACACUCAUCGAGUGUGAAGACCAGUGCUAAAUGUUAGGCCGAUCUCCAACGCGGUCAAGAGGGUGAGCGAUAGAAAUGUUCCGGAUGCAGAUUUCGCGAGUGCAAACUGGCAAGUGCGCCACAUAUACGCGUCCGAAAUGGUGAUUCUAUUAAGUGAAGUGAUAAGUCUAGUCAUCAGUGUCAGUGCUACCUAAGUGCUUUAGUGUCAGUGUUGAACUCUUUACAUAAGCUUGAUUCUCUUAUUUGCAUUUUAUUGUUUGUUUCAUGCUAAUUAUACCCGUAUAGCAUUAAGUUUUCUAAGAAAUUUAAUGUAGGCUGUGUCUAAACAAUUUGGGGUUUUAAAUUGGAUCCAAUAUUAUAUGGGAUCUAAUCUGGGUCCAACAUGUUUCCUAUAGCUUUCAGUAUCUUGAGAAUCUGUUGCUAUAUCGCAGAGAGUUAACACUUCUUUUUCGAGUGUUCAGUUUAAUUCAAUGUGUUAUCGCAAGUUUCUACGCAUACAAGUCAACGACAGAACUAAACCGCCUGCGUUGGCAAUGGAGCAACGCAUCCAGAUAUGCCGCCUUUUCCUGACCAUGCCGUGCUAAAGCUACCUAAGACGUUCUGCUGUGAAAAUUGCAUCAGUUGCUUGUUGUCACGCUUUUAUAGUUGGAGUCUGUGUUAGACUUUGCAAUCGAGCUUAUAUGACUGAGAACAUUGGGGGUGUAUCAAUAUCAUAAACCAGUUGUUAACAUUUUUUUUUUAAAUGGGAAUACUGUUUCAUACUCUAUAAAUCUAGUUUAGCCUACUCUAUGUUGUGAUCAUUCAUUGAAAUAUCUACAUAGUUAUUUCGAAAAGCGAUUACAAUAUAUUUUGAUCCUAUUCAGAGGAAAGACUUAUGAAAGGAAACUACACUGUUUGUAGAGAUUUAUUAGGUAUAUGUAGUAUAUAUGUACAUGUACAUCUAAGUAUUGUAGUGGUAUUUCAUACCAGGUGGGGAGUGUUGCGAAACAGAAUGGGACGUUUUAUCUUGUUUGAAUACUCUUCUUUGUGAAGGUAAAAUUUAGAGUUAUUCAACCACGCCAAACUUUUGCGAUACUUUAAAAGGCCAUAAAUCUUUACGACAAUAAACAUCGGACCAACCACAGUCUUGCCUUCACAUUCCUCGUCCGGUUACAGUCUGCAUCAAUAAAAGUGCAGAGUCAUGUUCCUUAGAUGCAACCGUCCACUACAGCUGGGACAGCAGGUUCAUAUUCCACACAUGAUAUCCGACAUGUUAGACCCCUGUAUUUCAAAACUGCCAGGAGAUGUGAGGUAUAUUGGAGUUUGCUGUGAAGGAUCUGAGAAACAGGUGUUUUACCUUGGUGAUGAGGGUGUUGCCCCAGGCAAAGUAGCAAACACAGUUGUCAGCUUCCUCCACCAUUACCUUGAAAACUACGGCCUGGGUGAGGCACAUGCUCAGUUUCACUUUGACAAUUGCCAAGGACAAAACAAAAAUAAUGCAGUUCUUGGUAAUGCUGUGUGGAGAACAUUGACAGGAGGGCAUAAGACAAUCCAGUACUCACUGAUGCUAGCCGACACCAAAAUUGUAUGCGACUGGCAUUUUGGAUUUUGGAAAAACAGAUGGAGACACAUGGAUGCAGAGACAGUUGAGGUAUUCAGAGGUGGCUUUCACAGUAGCCAUGUCAUCCCGUAAUGGCCACAGCAUUCCACAUAUUGUUGAUGGCAACAGCAAACCAGUGUCGUUCUUUCACUGGAGCACCUUCUUCAAAGGCAUUUUCAAACCAUUGAAGAACAUUUUGAUAUACCAUUCGUUUGAGGUAUCUUCUAACGAGCCUGGGAUUGUAAGAGUAAGGAAGUUUGUUGAUGCCCCUGAGGAGAAAAUUAACAUACUGAAAACCUGCCAAGUGGAUAUUGGUGUUCUGCCAGAGCAGAUCUUUGGUGAGGGAAUAUGUGCUGAAAGGCAAUGGUACUUGCAUGAUGUAAUUAGAGACUUUUGCAGAUCGGAUAAUGCUAAAAACACAACAUGCCCAUUGCCAUUAGUUGCAAAAGAAGGCUAUUCAAAGGCCAAAAAACUAAAGUUGAGAACACUUUCUCUGUGUGUUUCAGCAAAAAGUUGUAGUUUAUUUCUUGCUACAAACAGAUUGGCAUGUAUUUGUGCAAGUUUUAUGUUUUCAUUUACAUUCAAAAAAAAUCUUUCUUUGUGUUACAAUGAUAAAAUAUUCAUGAUUUUAGGAAUGCAUGGUUUCCAUGGCAACCAAAAGAAACACACUUGAUUGAUCAUUGAAUACUUAUGUAUAAACAUACGUUUCAAUUAUGGGAAUAUCAUUGAACAGUUGGCCAUCUAUAAGUAAAGUAUAAUGGCAUUCAUAUUUUCUACAUAACGGCAGUAAAAUGUGCAAGUGUACAUUAUAAGUCUACAUGUUAUUAGUUAUACAUUAAUAUAGUUUCAAUGUUCCUUGCAUGCAUAUGGUUGUUGUCAAUUUUAUCAAAUAAGGCAUGUGUCAAUGCUUUUCUUGUAAAUACAUUUCAUUCUGUGUCAUCUUACAACUCCAAAAGAAUGAAAUGAGCAAAAAAUGAAUGAUUCUAGGUAUAAGUAAGUUGCUAUGGUAACCAAAUAUAACAUGUCUUCUUGUUGAUUUUAAAAAAUAAUUGAUUUCACCAGACAAGUUGGAUCUUUUAAAUUAUUGCUUGUGUUAAAAUAAUAUGUUUGUGUUUUGAUUAAUACAAGGAUAAGCUGAAAUACUUUUGAACAAUUAACCUUGUUUAAGAAAAGUGGCAGAUUUUCUUUUAAGGGUCUAUGGAAAAUUGCUGUAAACAUUCUAUUUUACUACAUAGCUGGCUGAAAUCUUAAUGCUGUACUAAAAUAUUUCCUGCAAACAUAAUCUAUCAAAUUCAAAUGUGAUUUUAUGUAUUUCAGCUGUUUUUGCGUUUAUUUGGAUAAAUUUCUCGUAAAAGCAUUGUAGUCAUGGCAACCGUUUCUAUGAAAUGUACAUGUGGUGUUAUAUUCUCCAUAAAUGAUGUAAUUGAUGUUAUGAUAAUAUUUCCACAGAAAUAAAAAUUGUUGUAUUCAUUUUUAAUGGA
Mya arenaria is the source of this 5335-nucleotide RNA transcript. RefSeq lists it as uncharacterized. NCBI's taxonomy places the organism in Eukaryota, Metazoa, Mollusca, Bivalvia, Myida, Myidae. The transcript is spliced from 7 exons. The record is from RefSeq and is a predicted model, not a curated record.